CGCGUCACACAAGGGAGACCACACACUUCCUCUCUUAUCUCCACCUAAAACUUCAAACUUCAAACCGCCACUAAAUCUCUGCCUUGUAACUUCUCCACCAUCCAACACCCUUCUCUGUCGUCCAUCAUACUCCCUUCGAUCCGACCUUCACCUUCGGAAAAAAAAAACUCAACUUUUCCCUUCUCCGAUCUACGACACCGCCAACCAUCAUAAACACAUCACAUACAACCUUUCCACCCUUCGAUCCAUUUUCCAAUCGCGUUUUUGAUCCAAUAACACCCUUCACUCACCGGUAACCACCGCGACAUAUCAUCCUUUGCUCUUCUCAAGAUACUCGAACGCGGCUUUAACGAUUUGGAGAAAUCAGGAGCAUUCCAUAUUCCACUUUCGGUGGUCUGAGAAUAACAUUUAUGCACAACAUCAAGUUUUCCGGAUACCCGUGAAUAAGAAAUUCCACAAUAAAAUAAUUCUGCACAGCAACAACUUUCGGUUUUGGGUCGCGUCUUUUCUUCUUACUCGAUUUCAAUGUUGUUGGAUUGUGAUUAAUUUGUUUUUGUAUCUUGAUUCUUUUUCUUUACUAUUUGUUCUGUUUAUAGCAUUUCGUCCUAUUCGUUUAGUGUUUGGUAUGCUUGGCUUUUAUGGUUCUGUUAUGGAUAAGUUGGAUUUCAUGAUAAUCACUUUUAACAGUUUUAAUCGGGUAUUAUAAUACGUAGUUGCUGCUACUGAUUCUAUUUGGUUGAGAUGUAUUAGGUAAGAUCGGACAUUUAUCCGUGAUUUCGACAUUGAUAAUAUGUUGUUAUGACCACCAAUUUCUAUUUUGAUAUCUAUUUUGAUAUGUCAACUUAAUUUCUACAGCUUCUUUUGUAUGUUAUGGUAUGAUAUUCUAUUUCGAUGAACGCUAAAGAAGUUGUUGCUGUCAUGAUUCGAGUUGCUGAAUUGCCGUAGAUGUUUGUUGGAAAUAAUAGGUUGGACUUGGAUGGAUGGACUUGGAUGGAUGGACUGAUAUUGGAAUUAAUAUCCAAUUUUUAUUUGUUUAAAUUCUAUUUUUUUAAUAUUAUAUACUCACUUUUAUCAAUAAUGGUUAUGUUAUAAAUUUUAGUAAAAGGAAACAAGAGAGUCACGUGGUAAGAGUGGGGGACGACUCCCUUUUAUUGCCAUUUUUUUGUUACUUUUAUUUAUUAUUAUUAUUAUUAUUUAUUUUAUUUAUUCUGUUAAUAAAUGGUUUUAUUAUUAUUA
Lathyrus oleraceus (garden pea) is the source of this 1236-nucleotide long non-coding RNA. RefSeq lists it as uncharacterized. NCBI's taxonomy places the organism in Eukaryota, Viridiplantae, Streptophyta, Magnoliopsida, Fabales, Fabaceae. The transcript has 2 exons. The record is from RefSeq and is a predicted model, not a curated record.